Molecule: transfer RNA, 76 nt
Filed under: Acidobacteria bacterium CG_4_9_14_3_um_filter_49_7
Lineage: Bacteria; Pseudomonadati; Acidobacteriota
Also listed under: 2 other names
Description: tRNA-Met
Rfam family: tRNA
About the family: Transfer RNA (tRNA) molecules are approximately 80 nucleotides in length.
Source: RNAcentral
GGGCCCAUAGCUCAGUUGGCAGAGCCCCCGGCUCAUAACCGGAUGGUCCCAGGUUCGACCCCUGGUGGGCCCACCA